This 463-nucleotide ribosomal RNA is filed under the name uncultured bacterium. RNAcentral describes it as "partial 16S ribosomal RNA". It matches the Rfam family "Bacterial small subunit ribosomal RNA", at positions 28 to 507 of the family's 1533-position model. The record is from RNAcentral.
GACGAACGCUGGCGGCGUGCUUAACACAUGCAAGUCGAACGGAAAGGCCUUUUCGGAGGUACUCGAGUGGCGAACGGGUGAGUAACACGUGGGUGAUCUGCCCUGCACUCUGGGAUAAGCCUGGGAAACUGGGUCUAAUACCGGAUAGGACCGCACUUUAGUGUGUGUGGUGGAAAGUUUUUUCGGUGUAGGAUGAGCCCGCGGCCUAUCAGCUUGUUGGUGGGGUAAUGGCCUACCAAGGCGGCGACGGGAAGCCGGACUGAGAGGUUGGUCGGCCACAUUGGGACUGAGAUACGGCCCAGACUCCUACGGGAGGCAGCAGUGGGGAAUAUUGCACAAUGGGCGCAAGCCUGAUGCAGCGACGCCGCGUGGGGGAUGACGGCCUUCGGGUUGUAAACUCCUUUCGCCAGGGACGAAGCGUUUUGUGACGGUACCUGGAGAAGAAGCACCGGCUAACUACGUG